Non-coding RNA from Rhizophagus irregularis, 92 nucleotides. The record is from Rfam. NCBI's taxonomy places the organism in Eukaryota, Fungi, Glomeromycota, Glomeromycetes, Glomerales, Glomeraceae.
GGAUUGAUAUUAAAACUGUGAAGGUACUCCUUAUAUAGCUUAAUAAAUUGAUUAAAAUUUUCAUCUUCACGUCCUUCAAAAAUAGGAAGUCC